CUGGMUUCAGCCGCGGCGGGUUUUUAAUGCCUAGGAAUCUGCCUGGYCUGGCGGGAUACGUCUCGAAAGGUACGCUAAUACCGCAGACMYCUACGGGAGAAAGCAGCGGACCUUCGGGCUUUGCCUUAUCAGAUGAGCCUAGGUGGAUUAGAUAGWUGGAGAGGAAUGGCUGUCCGGGGCGACGAUCCGUAACUGGUCUGAGAGGAUGAUCAGUCACACUGGAACUGASACACGGUCCAGACUCCUACGGGAGGCAGCUGUUUUGAAUAUUGGACAAUGRGCGAAAGUYUAUCCCAGCCAUGCCGGGUGUGUGAAGGAGGGCUUCGGGUUGUAAAGCACUUUUAGGUGGGAGGGAAGGGAAGUAGAUWAAUACUUUUUAAUUUUGGCGGUACCCGAAAGRAUWAGCCCCCGG
This 412-nucleotide ribosomal RNA is filed under the name Pseudomonas fluorescens. RNAcentral describes it as "partial 16S ribosomal RNA". It matches the Rfam family "Bacterial small subunit ribosomal RNA", at positions 86 to 497 of the family's 1533-position model. The record is from RNAcentral. Lineage: Bacteria; Pseudomonadati; Pseudomonadota; Gammaproteobacteria; Pseudomonadales; Pseudomonadaceae.